UACGGGGGGAGCAAGCGUUGUUCGGAUUUACUGGGCGUAAAGGGCGCGUAGGCGGCGUGACAAGUCACUUGUGAAAUCUCCGGGCUUAACUCGGAACGGUCAAGUGAUACUGUCGUGCUAGAGUACAGAAGGGGCAACUGGAAUUCUCGGGUGUAGCGGUGAAAUGCGUAGAUAUCGAGAGGAACACCUGCGGCGAAGGCGGGUUGCUGGGCUGAUACUGACGCUGAGGCGCGAAAGCUAGGGUAGCAAACGGG
This 254-nucleotide ribosomal RNA is filed under the name uncultured bacterium. RNAcentral describes it as "partial 16S ribosomal RNA". It matches the Rfam family "Bacterial small subunit ribosomal RNA", at positions 524 to 776 of the family's 1533-position model. The record is from RNAcentral.